GAUCUUAAGAUCUUAAUAAGGGUCUGUUUGGUUCAUUGUGGAAUGCAGACCUACUCAACUUGUUAGCUUUUUUGUGUCUUUUGUCAUUGGGCGUGCAGAAUGUUAGAUCUAUUUAAGCCAAUAAUAAAUAAUCAAUAAUUCUUCCCAACGUCUAGACUGUUAAUGCAAUAUGUGCGAAUUAAACUUGCGCCACUGACUCUAAUACCACUUUUGGAUCAGAAGCGCUAAUUUACUAUUCUAAAAGUACGUGCUGAUAGCAAGAACGCACUUAUCGCACUUAAGGACUCAAACACAACGCUUAUAGGCUUUGACUUGACUUAAUCAAUUUGAACAUUUGAUCUAUCAUUGAGCAUCUUACUGUUAGGUUUAUUAUGUACUGCAGCCUUCCCCAACUUAUUGAGUUCAUUCAUUUCAACUUUUAAGUUUACUGAAUAUAUUAUCGUGGAGUAUAAAAUUGAUCCUACUUUAGUUAAUAAUAAAUAGCCAAUACA
Molecule: long non-coding RNA, 491 nt
Filed under: Ananas comosus (pineapple)
Lineage: Eukaryota; Viridiplantae; Streptophyta; Magnoliopsida; Poales; Bromeliaceae
Description: long non-coding RNA (ACOM_LNC010782)
Source: RNAcentral